GAUGAACGCUGGCGGCGUGCCUAAUACAUGCAAGUCGAGCGAACGGACGAGAAGCUUGCUCCUCUGAUGUUAGCGGCGGACGGGUGAGUAACACGUGGAUAACCUACCUAUAAGACUGGGAUAACUUCGGGAAACCGUAGCUAAUACCGGAUAAUAUUUUGAACCGCAUGGUUCAAAAGUGAAAGACGGUCUUGCUGUCACUUAUAGAUGGAUCCGCGCUGCAUUAGCUAGUUGGUAAGGUAACGGCUUACCAAGGCAACGAUGCAUAGCCGACCUGAGAGGGUGAUCGGCCACACUGGAACUGAGACACGGUCCAGACUCCUACGGGAGGCAGCAGUAGGGAAUCUUCCGCAAUGGGCGAAAGCCUGACGGAGCAACGCCGCGUGAGUGAUGAAGGUCUUCGGAUCGUAAAACUCUGUUAUUAGGGAAGAACAAAUGUGUAAGUAACUGUGCACGUCUUGACGGUACCUAAUCAGAAAGCCACGGCUAACUACGUG
Molecule: ribosomal RNA, 497 nt
Filed under: uncultured bacterium
Lineage: Bacteria
Description: partial 16S ribosomal RNA
Rfam family: Bacterial small subunit ribosomal RNA
Source: RNAcentral